Molecule: ribosomal RNA, 429 nt
Filed under: Bacteroidota bacterium
Lineage: Bacteria; Pseudomonadati; Bacteroidota
Description: Bacteroidetes bacterium partial 16S ribosomal RNA
Rfam family: Bacterial small subunit ribosomal RNA
Source: RNAcentral
UAGGGAAUCUUCGGCAAUGGGGGGAACCCUGACCGAGCAACGCCGCGUGAGUGAAGAAGGUUUUCGGAUCGUAAAGCUCUGUUGUUAAGGAAGAACGAGUGUGAGAAUGGAAAGUUCAUGCUGUGACGGUACUUAACCAGAAAGGGACGGCUAACUACGUGCCAGCAGCCGCGGUAAUACGUAGGUCCCGAGCGUUGUCCGGAUUUAUUGGGCGUAAAGCGAGCGCAGGCGGUUAGAAAAGUCUGAAGUGAAAGGCAGUGGCUCAACCAUUGUAGGCUUUGGAAACUGUUUAACUUGAGUGCAGAAGGGGAGAGUGGAAUUCCAUGUGUAGCGGUGAAAUGCGUAGCUAUAUGGAGGAACACCGGUGGCGAAGGCGGCUCUCUGGUCUGUAACUGACGCUGAGGCUCGAAAGCGUGGGGAGCGAACAGG